GCAUAUAGAGCAACAAUGUUGGUGAGGUUGCUAGUUUUCUUUGAUCUUUUCCCCUUUUUCUUUUUGCUCGUAUCGCCAUUGUUUUUGGUGUGCUUGUUUGCUGUUGUUAUCUGCAUUGUUUGGUUGUUCUAGCUUGUAGUAUGUGGAUGCAUUGUUGUAGGAUAACUAUGUGAUACCAUAGUUUCUCAACUAUUGCAAUUUAGAUAGGGGUGCAAGUGAGCUGAGGAGCUCUCAAGCUGCUCACGCUCGACUCGAGUUUAAGCUUGACUCGACUAUUACCGAGCUCUAGUAGCUCGAACAAUUUUUUGAGUUGAGCUUGGCUCGAAAACCCACAAGCCUAUUCGAGUAUAUAUAUUUUAAAUAAUAUUAUAUUUUAUUUAUAUUUAAUUUAAUAUUUUAAAAUGUAAUAUUAUGUUAUAUUUUGUUUUGACUAUAUUUUUUUAAUUAUAACCAAAGCUCGAAUUCGAGCUUGAACUGGAGCUCGAGUAUGAUUCGGUUGAUAUUCGAGUCUAGUCGAUCUCGGAUAUUGCUUUCUUUUUUUUAUUAUUUUAUAACAAAGUCGAGUUCGAGUUUGGAUAUUAAGGCUCGAUCAAUCUUAGGCUGAGUUUCGAGCCUAAGCAUUUUGAAUUGAGUCGAGCUCGAUCCUCUAGUUAUUUGACUCGGCGGCUUGAUUGCACCCCCUAAAUUUAACUUGGCCGUAUGUGCCUUCUUUCAGCUGGAGCGCGGACUUAAUUUGUUAACAUAUGCUAUAAAUUAGCUGCUGAUUGUUGGAUUUCAAUGAAGUUUGAUUGCAGAAUUUGUUAAGUACAAUGUUGCUUCUAGUGUUAAGUACAAUGUUUUUGUAGUGACUAUAUCUACGUUGUAAUGUAAACAAAUUUGUGAUAGUCCUGUAUGUUGCAGUACAUACGAAAUGCAAGUAGUAUGAAAUUAAAUGAGCUGGAAGCUAACUCUGCAGACCUGUAAUCCCACGAAGAGCUGAACAGAAAUAUAUAGGCGAUACCUGCCUCCUUUCUGCUCAAACCACACUUCUCUCCACUUCUGCACAUAUUUGAUGUGAAUCCUCAACUCCCAUGUUAGAAGGGCUAUUAACAGAAAUAUAUAGGCGAUACCUGCCUCCUUUCUGCUCAAACCACACUUCUCUCCACUUCUGCACAUAUUUGAUGUGAAUCCUCAACUCCCAUGUUAGAAGGGCUAUUAAGUCUCUAUGGAUGGCUUUUUGCC
RNAcentral lists this long non-coding RNA (1221 nucleotides) under Phoenix dactylifera (date palm). RNAcentral's name for it is "long non-coding RNA (PDAC_LNC003113)". The record is from RNAcentral. Lineage: Eukaryota; Viridiplantae; Streptophyta; Magnoliopsida; Arecales; Arecaceae.